CGACGGCACCUGAGAGGGACAUUUGUCAUUCGUUUGCGAAAUGCGUUAUUCAUAUUUAUUUUUGCAGCCUUUCUGUUGGGGAUCAUACACCAUUUACCGAUCCUCCUCAUCUUCAUCGUCCCGGGUACCAGAGUUACGGGUGUCUCCAGACCCGGUAUUGCUGCCCUGCUUCCCCCCGUGGGGACAGUCGGAGUCACCUUGGCCCUUGAUUGCCUGCUCCUUGGCCUUGCGGCUCCGUUUCCACUUCAUCCGCCUGUUCUGGAACCAGAUCUUCACCUGAACGGAACCGGGAGCACAACGUCAGAACUGAAACACGACAGUUACACGAGGAUAAACAUGUCAGUCAAAACAACCUGCGGCUCAUUUCAGUGGGUCUAAAGUUUUACGGCACGAGUAGACAUUUAUCCAACUGUCAUCUCUAUGGGACUGCAGAUGGAUAUGAGCUAUGCAGCUAAAUCUGGAGCAAUAUUUAUUGUGCAUGGUCCCUGACACAUAAGUUUAUAAAAAAAUAAUUCACACAAUUGCACAAAAAAAGAAAAAAGGAUUGAAAAUCACUUCAGGGAGCAUCAUACCUGUGUCUCUGUGAGCACGAGAGAGGUGGCCACCUCAAAGCGUUUAGGUCUGGACAGGUAUUUGUUGAGUUUGAACUGGUUUUCCAGGUGUAGUAGCUGUUGACUGGUGAAGGCUGUUCUGGGCCUACGACACUUCCCCAUCAGACUGGCCUGAGAGGAGACUGGAGUGGAGACCAUGAGAGAGGGUCUUGCUCUUGUGUACGGGAGGAUGAUGGGGCUGAGAUAUAAACAUGUUCAUCUUUAAAAGCCGUCCUUUCUGAUGUCAGUUGUAUUGGACUUUGGUUUACAGUUGGCCUGAAGACACGGGGAUAUGGCUUUAGCAGGGCUAUAAAACUCAACAACAAAGUCCCGCUAUUGAAUGACCAUUAAAUUAAUGAAGAUUUCAAUAGCGGGACUUUGUUGAUGAAGUGGACGUAUUGUAUCAGGUGUUUGUUUAUUGUAUACUGUAAUAAUAAUAAUCUCACACUUUGGCUAUCGCCUAUGAAUUAAAAUGUUAUUUAUGACUAAAGGUAAAUCAUUACAGACAAAGAGAUAUGAUUAUGGUUCAGGAGUAAAUGAAAGAUGCAA
Oncorhynchus gorbuscha (pink salmon) is the source of this 1139-nucleotide long non-coding RNA. RefSeq lists it as uncharacterized. The record is from RefSeq and is a predicted model, not a curated record. The transcript has 3 exons. Lineage: Eukaryota; Metazoa; Chordata; Actinopteri; Salmoniformes; Salmonidae.